Molecule: ribosomal RNA, 439 nt
Filed under: uncultured Glomus
Lineage: Eukaryota; Fungi; Glomeromycota; Glomeromycetes; Glomerales; Glomeraceae
Description: SSU rRNA
Rfam family: Eukaryotic small subunit ribosomal RNA
Source: RNAcentral
UGCAGCCGCGGUAAUUCCAGCUCCAAUAGCGUAUAUUAAAGUUGCUGCAGUUAAAAAGCUCGUAGUUGAAUUUCGGGACUAAUAUGUCGGUCGUGCCUCGGUACGUACUGGCUUAUUGGUUUCUCCUUUCUGAAGAACCAUGAUGUCAUUUAUUUGGUGUCGUGGGGAAUCAGGACUGUUACUUUGAAAAAUUGAGUGUUUAAAGCAGGCUUUAGCUUGAAUACAUUAGCAUGGAAUAAUGAAAUAGGACGUUCGAACCUAUUUUGUUGGUUUCUAGGAUCAACGUAAUGAUUAAUAGGGAUAGUUGGGGGCAUUAGUAUUCAAUUGUCAGAGGUGAAAUUCUUGGAUUUAUUGAAGACUAACUACUGCGAAAGCAUUUGCCAAGGAUGUUUUCAUUAAUCAAGAACGAAAGUUAGGGGAUCGAAGACGAUCAGAUACC